UGAGUAACAUGUAUCCAACCUGCCGUCUACUCUUGGCCAGCCUUCUGAAAGGAAGAUUAAUCCAGGAUGGCAUCAUGAGUUCACAUGUCCGCAUGAUUAAAGGUAUUUUCCGGUAGACGAUGGGGAUGCGUUCCAUUAGAUAGUAGGCGGGGUAACGGCCCACCUAGUCAACGAUGGAUAGGGGUUCUGAGAGGAAGGUCCCCCACAUUGGAACUGAGACACGGUCCAA
This 229-nucleotide ribosomal RNA is filed under the name uncultured bacterium. Its description in RNAcentral is "partial 16S ribosomal RNA". It matches the Rfam family "Bacterial small subunit ribosomal RNA", at positions 107 to 334 of the family's 1533-position model. The record is from RNAcentral.